This 397-nucleotide long non-coding RNA is filed under the name Sus scrofa (pig). RNAcentral's name for it is "lncRNA (ENSSSCG00055008391.1)". Lineage: Eukaryota; Metazoa; Chordata; Mammalia; Artiodactyla; Suidae. The record is from RNAcentral.
CACAAUUGGGACUGGCUAUACUGCUGUGCUGAAAAGAAGUCUCAGGCCUCAGAGAAAAAGAAUACCGUGGAGAUGUCUGCCAGAGGAAGACAGAAUCACAACAGGAACCAGUUUCCUUGUAGACAUCUCCCAAGAGUCUUUCCUUGAUCUGCCUUCCGCAUGCUUCUUACUUGGCUUCAGACAUGAGCAUGCUUCCAGCCCAGAUUUUACCUUAACCUGUUUGACCGAACUCUCUGAUGAUUCUAGUCAAUUUGGAUUUCAGCACUCGAAUUCUGUCCCUGAUGGUAAGCUAAACUUUAGACUGAUAUUUUUGAAUGUUUUAAAUUACAUCUGUACUUUUUUAAUGUCAGAUGUGUAAAAAAAUAAAUCUUGAUGUCAUUUAUUUGUAGUGGUAUAG